Molecule: ribosomal RNA, 885 nt
Filed under: uncultured bacterium
Lineage: Bacteria
Description: bacterial SSU rRNA
Rfam family: Bacterial small subunit ribosomal RNA
Source: RNAcentral
CUAGCUACAGGCUUAACACAUGCAAGUCGAGGGGCAGCAUGUCGGUUGCUUGCAACCGAUGAUGGCGACCGGCGCACGGGUGAGUAACGCGUAUCCAACCUACCCUUGUCCAUCGGAUAACCCGUCGAAAGGCGGCCUAACACGAUAUGCGGUUCACCGCAGGCAUCUAACGUGAACGAAAUGUGAAGGAGAAGGAUGGGGAUGCGUCUGAUUAGCUUGUUGGCGGGGUAACGGCCCACCAAGGCGACGAUCAGUAGGGGUUCUGAGAGGAAGGUCCCCCACAUUGGAACUGAGACACGGUCCAAACUCCUACGGGAGGCAGCAGUGAGGAAUAUUGGUCAAUGGACGAGAGUCUGAACCAGCCAAGUAGCGUGCAGGAUGACGGCCCUAUGGGUUGUAAACUGCUUUUAUAGGGGGAUAAAGUGUGCCACGUGUGGCAUAUUGCAGGUACCCUAUGAAUAAGGACCGGCUAAUUCCGUGCCAGCAGCCGCGGUAAUACGGAAGGUCCGGGCGUUAUCCGGAUUUAUUGGGUUUAAAGGGAGCGUAGGCCGUUUGGUAAGCGUGUUGUGAAAUGUCGGGGCUCAACCUGGGCAUUGCAGCGCGAACUGCCAGACUUGAGUGCGCAGGAAGUAGGCGGAAUUCGUCGUGUAGCGGUGAAAUGCUUAGAUAUGACGAAGAACUCCGAUUGCGAAGGCAGCCUGCUGUAGCGCAACUGACGCUGAAGCUCGAAAGCGUGGGUAUCGAACAGGAUUAGAUACCCUGGUAGUCCACGCGGUAAACGAUGGAUGCUCGCUGUUUGCGUCUGACGUAAGCGGCCAAGCGAAAGCGUUAAGCAUCCCACCUGGGGAGUACGCCGGCAACGGUGAAACUCAAAGGAAUUGACGG